Coniochaeta sp. 2T2.1 is the source of this 121-nucleotide non-coding RNA. The record is from the annotation of a GenBank genome assembly. NCBI's taxonomy places the organism in Eukaryota, Fungi, Ascomycota, Sordariomycetes, Coniochaetales, Coniochaetaceae.
GGUUCCGUGGUCCAGUGGUCAAGACUCAUCGUUGUGGUUAAGAGAAAAGUUUACUGGGUACCUGCUAGCGCUACUCCAUCUACUCUCCGAUGCAACCCGUGUUCGAUUCACGGCGGAGCCA